GCUGGGCAUGGUGGCUCAUGCCUGUAAUCCCAGCACUUUGGGAGGCUGAGGUGGGCUGAUCACUUGAGGUCAGGAGUUCAAGACCAGCCUGGCCAACAUGGUGAAACCCCAUCUCUA
Molecule: non-coding RNA, 117 nt
Filed under: Nomascus leucogenys (northern white-cheeked gibbon)
Lineage: Eukaryota; Metazoa; Chordata; Mammalia; Primates; Hylobatidae
Source: Rfam by way of RNAcentral